GACGUAGGGUCCAAGCGUUAUCCGGAUUUACUGGGCGUAAAGCGCGCGUAGGCGGUCUGUUAAGUGCACAAGUGAAGGCUCCGGGCUCAACUCGGAAAUUGCUUUGCAUACUGGCAGGCUGGAGGGACGCAGAGGUCUGUGGAAUUCCUGGUGUAACGGUGAAAUGUGUUGAUAUCAGGAGGAACACCCAUGGCGAAGGCAGCAGACUGGGCGUUUCCUGACGCUGAGGCGCGAAAGCGUGGGUAGCAAACAGG
RNAcentral lists this ribosomal RNA (254 nucleotides) under uncultured bacterium. RNAcentral describes it as "partial 16S ribosomal RNA". It matches the Rfam family "Bacterial small subunit ribosomal RNA", at positions 524 to 776 of the family's 1533-position model. The record is from RNAcentral.